ACGGGAGGCAGCAGUGAGGAAUAUUGGUCAAUGGGCGGAAGCCUGAACCAGCCAAGUCGCGUGAAGGAUGAAGGUAUUAUGUAUUGUAAACUUCUUUAGACGUAGAGAAAUAAGGUGCUCGUGAGCACUGAUGCUAGUAUACGUAGAAUAAGGAUCGGCUAACUCCGUGCCAGCAGCCGCGGUAAUACGGAGGAUCCGAGCGUUAUCCGGAUUUAUUGGGUUUAAAGGGUGCGCAGGCGGUCUUUUAAGUCAGUGGUUAAAUCGUGAGGCUCAACCUCAUCACGCCAUUGAUACUGGAGGACUUGAUUGCGGUUGAGGUUGGCGGAAUUCGCCGUGUAGCGGUGAAAUGCUUAGAUAUCACGAAGAACUCCGAUUGCGAAGGCAGCUGGCGGUACCGUUACCGACGCUCAUGCUCGAAAGUGUGGGUAUCGAACAGGAUUAGAUACCCUGGUA
Molecule: ribosomal RNA, 453 nt
Filed under: uncultured Bacteroides sp.
Lineage: Bacteria; Pseudomonadati; Bacteroidota; Bacteroidia; Bacteroidales; Bacteroidaceae
Description: partial 16S ribosomal RNA
Rfam family: Bacterial small subunit ribosomal RNA
Source: RNAcentral